This is a long non-coding RNA of Manis pentadactyla (Chinese pangolin), 849 nucleotides long. RefSeq lists it as uncharacterized. The record is from RefSeq and is a predicted model, not a curated record. The transcript is spliced from 3 exons. NCBI's taxonomy places the organism in Eukaryota, Metazoa, Chordata, Mammalia, Pholidota, Manidae.
CUGUUCCAUGGAAAUGUUUGUGCUGCUGAGAGUCCAACAGAAGAGAAAAGAGAGGCCCCUUCACCUUCAUGUGGAACUGGGGCUGGGCUCCAGGCGUGGGGCUUCCAGGGCCAGCGCCGAGCUGUGAGUGGAGGCCUUUCUGCUCCUCUGGAAGUUGGACAGGCGUCAGAGUGCAGGACCCUCCGGGGUGUGGGAACGAGCCCCAUGGCACCAGUGACAGGAGGACAGCGGACCUACCCUCUCAUUAUAAGGCAGCCCCUCCUUGUCCUGGCAGAGACGAGGUCUCCAGAGAAGCUGACCCAGCUGGCUAGAUGGGGUCUGUUUGAAGGAAUUGGCUCAUGCGACUGUGGGGGCCAGCGAGCCUGCAACCCACGGCGGGCAGGGGCAGAUGCAGUGGAAGGAGGCUCUUCAUCUCCGGGAAACCUCACUUUUGCGCGGAGGUCUUCACCUGAUCGGGUGAGGCCCACCGCAUCUAGAGGGGCACGUCCUCCUGCACUUAGGGCCGACUGACUGUAGACGCUGCCUGCAUGUGCCAGAUGCUUUCCCAGCAACACCCAGACGCCUGUUUGAGGAAAUGGCUGGAUACUACUGGGCAAAGGAACAGACAGAAACCCACCCACAGGAGUUGGCUAACUGAAAAGACCACAUUCUAAAGUGAAAUUUCAUGUCUCGAAUUAUGUUGUCCUGCCCACUUCCAACUCCUGCUCUUGAAAGAAAACCCACCCUUUGGCUCAUACAAAGGAACCAGCUGACUAGCGAGUCCCGCUGGGGCCGCGGUCACGACUUGCUGCCGCUCUUACCUCGCGCCCCCUGCCUGUCCCACCAAAGCUCGCAUCACUGCUGCUGUUA